GCCCUAAUAGCUUAAUCUUAAAGCAUUGGUCUUGUAAACCAAAGACUGAGGACUAAAAAUCUUCUUAGAGCU
RNAcentral lists this transfer RNA (72 nucleotides) under Anomaloglossus sp. 'Acari'. RNAcentral describes it as "tRNA-Thr". It matches the Rfam family "tRNA". From Rfam's summary of the family: Transfer RNA (tRNA) molecules are approximately 80 nucleotides in length. Their secondary structure includes four short double-helical elements and three loops (D, anti-codon, and T loops). Further hydrogen bonds mediate the characteristic L-shaped molecular structure. tRNAs have two regions of fundamental functional importance: the anti-codon, which is responsible for specific mRNA codon recognition, and the 3' end, to which the tRNAs corresponding amino acid is attached (by aminoacyl-tRNA synthetases). tRNAs cope with the degeneracy of the genetic code in two manners: having more than one tRNA (with a specific anti-codon) for a particular amino acid; and 'wobble' base-pairing, i.e. permitting non-standard base-pairing at the 3rd anti-codon position. The record is from RNAcentral. Lineage: Eukaryota; Metazoa; Chordata; Amphibia; Anura; Aromobatidae.